Molecule: ribosomal RNA, 253 nt
Filed under: uncultured bacterium
Lineage: Bacteria
Description: partial 16S ribosomal RNA
Rfam family: Bacterial small subunit ribosomal RNA
Source: RNAcentral
UCCGUAGGCGGCAAGCGUUGUCGGGAUUUAUUGGGUUUAAAGGGUGCGUAGGCGGUUUUGUAAGUCAGUGGUGAAAUAUGUCAGCUUAACUGAGAGGGUGCCAUUGAUACUGCAGAACUUGAGUACAGAUGAGGUAGGCGGAAUUGACGGUGUAGCGGUGAAAUGCUUAGAUAUCGUCAAGAACACCUAUAGCGAAGGCAGCUUACUAGGCUGUAUCUGACGCUGAGGCACGAAAGUGUGUGGAUCAAACAGG